Molecule: non-coding RNA, 428 nt
Filed under: Pan troglodytes (chimpanzee)
Lineage: Eukaryota; Metazoa; Chordata; Mammalia; Primates; Hominidae
Source: RNAcentral
CCUCCGCUGGGACCCAGGCGUGCGACCGGCUCUGCCUCCUCCGCAGUUCUGCCUCAGGACCUUUGCAUUUGCCAUCUCCUGUGUCAGCUUCAGUUCCCGAUACCGAAAUGGAUCUCCAUCACCUUCAUAUUGAAGCUCAACUGUAACAUCAGCAAGGCUUCCUGCAAUCCCCUACUUUACUAGUUCAGCACCUCCCACCACCACACCCCCUGGAAAAAUUUCCCCUCACUUCCUUAAUUUCUUCCAUAGCACAACUCAUCAGCAUCUGAAAUUCUACACGUAUUUAUGGUUUGUCCCCUCCGAGUAGAAUGUGAGCUCAUUGAGGUCAGGGAAUUCUGUUUUCUUCAUUAUGAUAUCCUCAGCACCUAGCAUAUAUUUGAGGUUCACAUACUGACCAAACGAAUAAAGGAAUAUGUUAAUUUUUAAAA